GCAAAAUAACAACAUCCCUUCGGUUUUCAGAAGAGCAUCUCUACAGUAAUCUGGGAAUGAGGUCCUUGGUGGCCCUAGUUCCAGAAAUGAGCCUCACAUUCCUGGACCGUUGCUACAGAGGGCAGGCAGCUAGCAGACAGAGAGAAGCAGAGCCAACAUGAAGAAAUGUGUUCAAGAACCACCGAAAAAAUGAUGUAGAAAGUGAUAAAGGAACCAGACUCCGUCAUUACAAAACAGAAAAAGGAUUGGUACUGUACCGGCAGACAUCUUAGAUGCAGAUGUUAAGCUUACGUGCUUGGAAAUGCUCUGAAACCUGCACCAGCUGCCUUGAAUGUCCUCUUUCUGAUGAGCAGCUCUUGGGGCCCAAACCAAGAGCUCUGGACUGGGAAAGAAAGUUACAAAUGGUGGCAGU
This 412-nucleotide long non-coding RNA is filed under the name Rattus norvegicus (Norway rat). Its description in RNAcentral is "long non-coding RNA NONRATT020984". Lineage: Eukaryota; Metazoa; Chordata; Mammalia; Rodentia; Muridae. The record is from RNAcentral.